GGUCCUUCCAAUCCUUGCAGGGACCUGAGUGCAACACAAGUGUCUGCACAGACACUGCUCCUGCUCCUGCAGACAACAUCCCAUCUGGAGACACUGUGAGUAGGUGGGACUGAGUGCCAACUUGGACUGGGAGUCAUGGAUUGGGAUGCCAGGUUUUCCAAUAAUAACCUCUUGUCUUUAGCAAAGUGCCCCGUGCCGUUUCCUGCUGCCUCUGCAAGGAACGUGGCACCAUCGAGACCCCGUGCAGGACCAUCCAGUUCUUCUGUGAGAGCCUGUGUGACACCAGCACUGCCCAGUGUGGUUCUCUAGCCCAGAAACGGGCAGAAAUAACGGGAGCAGCACAGCCUGGACAACUCAGAAGCAGCUCGGUGCUGUACGUCAAACCCAAGGACAUUCCCCCAGCACACCAUGGAUCCGUAACGUUUGCAGUUGCUCAGAAGCAGGCCAGCACCAGGGGUGACCUCAGCAGCCAGGGAGAUUCCCGAGCAGACUCGUAUUCCUCCCAGCACCUCUCCAGCCAGGGAAGGAAAGCCAUCGAUGAGCUGCUGGUGAAGCUGCACAACAUUCAGAACAGGGGCUGGACCGGAGAUGUGGACAGCAAACCCGAUUUUCUGGCAGAGCAGCUGGUGGCUGAGCUCCAGAGCCAGCAGCCCGAUGCUCAAAGCACCCUGGCUGUGGCAAACAUCGUCCCACAGCAGCCAGCGCCCGCCAGGCGCAACGUGCAGAAGUUCCCAGCAGUGGAGGGAAAGCAAACCACAGGCUGGGAGCAAAAGCAGCUCGAGUCAGGCUUGAACUGGCCAAUCUUAAACCGCUGGGACGUAGCUGGUGGGUCAAACCCCCCGGAUGACAACGCUGCCUUCGGACAUCACGGUGCAAAGGAAGCAGCAGCUCCCCGAAGGAGCUCUGUCCAGAGGUACCAGCGCAGGCAGAGGGACACCGGCUAUCAGCUGCCAUACAACCCCCUUUUCUACGAGGUGUCUGGUGAUGUGCAGGGAGAGGAAGAGCCCACGCCAGGAGAAAGCAAAGGUCUAGACAGAAAGCCAGAGAAUCUCUUGGACCUGUGGCUCAAGAGCCACCCUGAGGACAGCGCUGAAGAAGAGCGUUCCUCUCUCGGGGAAUCCGGGAAGCAAGGAGAGGCAAGGUCCAGGCUUGCCAAGGAGGCAGGAGGCUCCCAGAGCCCCGGCCGUGCUCCAGCUCCAGCAGAGCUCCCCGAGGCAAGGGUUGAGCAUCCCCUGCACUCGGAGGUGCCGGACGAGGCCCUGCGGACGUUCAUCGCCCGCGUGACAGAAGCCCUGAGUGCAGAGUGCAGCCAGCUCGACCUGCAGCUGCUCUGUGCCAGGAUGGUCUCUGAGGCUGGGCUGCUGGCAAAGAGGCUCAGCCCCAGGCAGGACAGCCAGGGAGUCGCUGCUUUCACACGGCAGUGUCUGCACCUGGCCUUGGAGAUGGGCAAGGAGUCCGCAGGAAAGGUAGGAGAGCUCCUGGGCACUGCUGCAUGUGCCUCUCUGGGCAAGGGGCAGUGGAAGGAGCGAGCCUCUCUCCCCUCCUGAUUUGCUCUCCUUCUCUCCCAGCACAAUGCAGGGCUCAACCACUCCAUAGUCACCAGGCUAUUGGUGUUUGUUAUCAUCAUGAUCUUCGCCAUCAUCUUCGUCCUCAUCAUGAUCAUGUUAUAUUUAGUCCAAGUAAGCCAGAACCUCCCUUGCCAGCUGUCAGUCAGGCCUGCGGUGCCCAGCUGAGCCCCAGGGGGGUGUGGAUGCCUGGGCUCGUGCUGGGGAGCACCGGAGAUGUUUGUGCACCCCUGGAGCUUGUGGCA
Manacus vitellinus (golden-collared manakin) is the source of this 1810-nucleotide long non-coding RNA. The record is from Ensembl. Lineage: Eukaryota; Metazoa; Chordata; Aves; Passeriformes; Pipridae.